Acanthosepion pharaonis is the source of this 91-nucleotide non-coding RNA. NCBI's taxonomy places the organism in Eukaryota, Metazoa, Mollusca, Cephalopoda, Sepiida, Sepiidae. The record is from the annotation of a GenBank genome assembly.
UCCGGUUAUCGUGCGAUCACCGAAGUUAAGCAACGUCGAGCCUGAUCAGUACCUAGAUGGGUGACCGCUUGGGAACAACAGGUGGUGUAAG